AGGAGGAUAGUUUAAAAAAAAACAUUUUCUUUGCAAGAAAAAAAAACUUUACUAGUUUCUCUUA
RNAcentral lists this transfer RNA (64 nucleotides) under Cromna sinensis. Its description in RNAcentral is "tRNA-Ala". Lineage: Eukaryota; Metazoa; Arthropoda; Insecta; Hemiptera; Flatidae. The record is from RNAcentral.